GCGGGGGUGGCGGAACGGCAGACGCGCCAGACUUAGGAUCUGGUGCCAUUGGCGUGGGGGUUCAAGUCCCCCCCUCCGCACCA
Molecule: transfer RNA, 83 nt
Filed under: Fretibacterium sp.
Lineage: Bacteria; Thermotogati; Synergistota; Synergistia; Synergistales; Aminobacteriaceae
Description: tRNA-Leu
Rfam family: tRNA
About the family: Transfer RNA (tRNA) molecules are approximately 80 nucleotides in length. Their secondary structure includes four short double-helical elements and three loops (D, anti-codon, and T loops).
Source: RNAcentral